RNAcentral lists this ribosomal RNA (464 nucleotides) under Vreelandella stevensii. RNAcentral describes it as "partial 16S ribosomal RNA". It matches the Rfam family "Bacterial small subunit ribosomal RNA", at positions 338 to 795 of the family's 1533-position model. The record is from RNAcentral. Lineage: Bacteria; Pseudomonadati; Pseudomonadota; Gammaproteobacteria; Oceanospirillales; Halomonadaceae.
CCUACGGGGGCUGCAGUGGGGAAUAUUGGACAAUGGGCGAAAGCCUGAUCCAGCCAUGCCGCGUGUGUGAAGAAGGCCUUCGGGUUGUAAAGCACUUUCAGUGGGGAAGAAAGCCUUGGGGCUAAUACCCUCGAGGAAGGACAUCACCCACAGAAGAAGCACCGGCUAACUCCGUGCCAGCAGCCGCGGUAAUACGGAGGGUGCGAGCGUUAAUCGGAAUUACUGGGCGUAAAGCGCGCGUAGGCGGUCUGAUAAGCCGGUUGUGAAAGCCCCGGGCUCAACCUGGGAACGGCAUCCGGAACUGUCAGGCUAGAGUGCAGGAGAGGAAGGUAGAAUUCCCGGUGUAGCAGUGAAAUGCGUAGAGAUCGGGAGGAAUACCAGUGGCGAAGGCGGCCUUCUGGACUGACACUGACGCUGAGGUGCGAAAGCGUGGGUAGCAAACAGGAUUAGAUACCCCUGUAGUC